Molecule: unclassified non-coding RNA, 148 nt
Organism: Pongo abelii (Sumatran orangutan)
Lineage: Eukaryota; Metazoa; Chordata; Mammalia; Primates; Hominidae
Rfam family: Metazoan signal recognition particle RNA
About the family: The signal recognition particle (SRP) is a universally conserved ribonucleoprotein.
Source: Ensembl
GCUGGGCAUAGUGGCCCAUGCCUGUAAUUCCAGCUACUCAGGAAGCUGAGGCGGGAGAAUCACUUGAACCUGGGAGGCUGAGGUUGCAGUGAGCUGAGAUCAUGCCACUGCACUCCAGCCUGGGCGACAGAGUGAGACUCCGUCUCAA